This 492-nucleotide ribosomal RNA is filed under the name uncultured bacterium. Its description in RNAcentral is "partial 16S ribosomal RNA". It matches the Rfam family "Bacterial small subunit ribosomal RNA", at positions 29 to 507 of the family's 1533-position model. The record is from RNAcentral.
AGUGAACGCUGACGGUAGGCCUAACACAUGCAAGUCGAACGGCAGCACAGUAAGAGCUUGCUCUUACGGGUGGCGAGUGGCGGACGGGUGAGGAAUACAUCGGAAUCUACUUUUUCGUGGGGGAUAACGUAGGGAAACUUACGCUAAUACCGCAUACGACCUACGGGUGAAAGCAGGGGAUCUUCGGACCUUGCGCGAUUGAAUGAGCUGAUGUCGGAUUAGCUAGUUGGCGGGGUAAAGGCCCACCAAGGCGACGAUCCGUAGCUGGUCUGAGAGGAUGAUCAGCCACACUGGAACUGAGACACGGUCCAGACUCCUACGGGAGGCAGCAGUGGGGAAUAUUGGACAAUGGGCGCAAGCCUGAUCCAGCCAUACCGCGUGGGUGAAGAAGGCCUUCGGGUUGUAAAGCCCUUUUGUUGGGAAAGAAAAGCAGCAGGUUAAUACCCCGCUGUUCUGACGGUACCCAAAGAAUAAGCACCGGCUAACUUCGUG